Alosa sapidissima (American shad) is the source of this 817-nucleotide long non-coding RNA. RefSeq lists it as uncharacterized. NCBI's taxonomy places the organism in Eukaryota, Metazoa, Chordata, Actinopteri, Clupeiformes, Clupeidae. The record is from RefSeq and is a predicted model, not a curated record. The transcript has 3 exons.
GGAAUUGCCAGGCUCCCAGAUUCAGAUAGCUUCUCUGGUCUGAUCCAUUUCAAAAGAAGCUCUUUCAGGUAGACGUAAAGCUCUCAAGGUGUCGUGCCAGACAAGAUGUCUGUAGUGUGGAACUUCUGACGAUCACAGCUUGGGAUUGGUGGGGCCAGUCGCACUAAAGAGCUGCAGCUGCAUCAUCCAGGAGGUCUUGGACUGCGCUGACCCCAGGAUGUCCUGAGUGGAGGCCGAUGAAAAAUCGUCGCUAUGACGCAAAACGACACUGAUUCAAACCAGAGGGAGCAGAUUACCGGCUCUACACAGACAACUGGCCCUGGUCUAGGCUCCUGUGGCCGACCAGCACUUGAAUGUCAAUAAAUCUCAGUUAGACACUGACCACAAGAAUAAUAUUUCUUCCAAUUAGUUAAUGGAUUCAGGCAACAGUAUUUUAUAAUAUUCCUUUUUUCAUAAUAUCAUCAUGAGAAUCAGCAGGAUUGCACAAUUGUAUGUUCAUGAUCAUAAAAUUUCACGGUGGAACAAGUGUUACAUUGAACACACAGUGCUCCAGAAUAGUAAAAAGUGAAACAGUUUUGGUUGAGCUAAACCCAUCUGACUAUAUGUGCGUCGAGGUCACUGUCACACACACUAUUCUCCUCUGAAUGGUCUUUUGCAUUUCCCUUCACUGUCCAAUGCCCAGAGCAUCAUGUGAUCACAGCGAGUAAUCAGAUAUGGUUUCCUCCACCCUCACUGAGACAAGGCCUGUGUGUUUCUGUGUGCGUGUGUGUCUCUGUGUGUGUUCUUGUGUGUGUGCAUGAGUGUGUGUGUGCAUGAG